UCAUAAGUGAUUAAGUGUUGUCCUCAGGGCUGCAGUUGUCUGCGCAGACGCAGGAGGAUCAGGUGACGGCUCUGAUGGAGGAAGAGCGCAGACAACAGCAGGAACUACUGCAGUCGUUAGCGGAGCGUGUCCUUCCCGUGGCUCACGUCUGGAGGACACACUGACCUCCAUCUGUCUGCACACACAACACCUCAACACCUCACGGGAUAAUAAAGAGAAGGGAUCCCUCUCUGCUGCCACCAGAGAAGCUUUAGAACGCAAGAAUCUCAUCUGACAGGAAGACGUUUUCUCCGUCCAAUGAGGAGACAUGGAACCUAGUGCCAAAGAUCUGUCGAGUUUCAAAGAUGACGGCGUAUACGUGAUGAACUCUCUUCAGAUGUUUCUCUGCACUUUUUAUAUUAUUGUCUUUAAACAUUUUGCUAAUUAUUUAAUCUAGUUUUAUUUAUAUUUUUUCUUGACAUCUCACAGCUUCAGCACCGCUUUUCUUGCUGGUUUUGUCUUUGCACACUUGAAUAAAUUGUGAUAAUUGUUGUAUUUUGUCAUUUACACAAAAAUGGAAAAAACUUGAUUUUUUAACAUCAAUUUCAAUCGAUAAUACAAAAUCAUAUUUUCAAAAAAAGAGCAUGUCAGAGGUUAAUUCUGGGUUCAUCAUACAUGAAUCAUUGGCAGUUGAUAUGAUACGUACAGGUAAGAGCAACAGAACUAUUAAUAUGAAUACAAAAUUAUAAUUUGAACUUGGGAACUACUAACUACAUAAGCUUAUUUCCACCACAGG
RNAcentral lists this long non-coding RNA (775 nucleotides) under Sinocyclocheilus anshuiensis. RNAcentral describes it as "lncRNA (ENSSANG00000015809.1)". Lineage: Eukaryota; Metazoa; Chordata; Actinopteri; Cypriniformes; Cyprinidae. The record is from RNAcentral.